CCUAAGGGGACAUGGGGGUGACGGGGUGCUGACCUCAGUACCUCUCCCCUGGCACCAUCAUCAGCCUCCACCCCACUUCAGGGGUCUGAAAGUCCCUCCCCACAUUAGAGGGGGUGCCUCCACCCAGAGCCUCAAUCUGGGAAGACGCCCCCCUCCCCAAGACCGGGAUCUGAACUGCCUUCCGUAUUCCCCUACCCCUCAGGUUUUGCGAUCACAGCUCUGAGUCCCAAAAUAAUCCCUGGGGCUGGAGUGGGGGCGUGUGGCGUCGACUCUGACGGCCUAAUGAAGGGUCUCAGGCAGAGGAUGUGGAUCUAGCCGUGACAGCUCCUCGGGCAGGGAGCGGAGGACAAGAGAGAGCGGUUGCACGCCCCCCGCCCCCGCUCUGGCGAGGGUACAACCCCUGGAGUCACCAGACUUUGGCCCUGCUCUUCCCAUCAGGGACACACGCAGGAGACAGGCAGGAGUGCAGGCUGGGAGGGCCGACCCCCUCUAGCUCUUUGCCCCUCAUGUAUGCAGAAUCUGACCAGAUGAGUUUUUAA
RNAcentral lists this long non-coding RNA (539 nucleotides) under Bos mutus (wild yak). RNAcentral describes it as "lncRNA (ENSBMUG00000025789.1)". Lineage: Eukaryota; Metazoa; Chordata; Mammalia; Artiodactyla; Bovidae. The record is from RNAcentral.